RNAcentral lists this long non-coding RNA (341 nucleotides) under Manihot esculenta (cassava). Its description in RNAcentral is "long non-coding RNA (MESC_LNC009842)". Lineage: Eukaryota; Viridiplantae; Streptophyta; Magnoliopsida; Malpighiales; Euphorbiaceae. The record is from RNAcentral.
GGGGCUCACUCUAACGAAUCAAGCACAAGUCUAUACAUCUUAUUACAUAACUACAAUCUCUUUACAUAUACAUGUCCACACUAGCUAUUACAUAUCUCUUCUUCCAUACCCUGCUGAACUCCCUCUGGACUCUGAACCUGCAAACCUGGGGAAUAGGGGAGAGGGAUGAGCUAUACAAGCCCAAUGAGUAGAACUAUAAAACAUGAUCUCAUGGAAUGCAUCACAUCACAGACAUUUCAUCUCAAGGACAGACAUGACCACCAAAAUUCCCACUGGGAAGAUGCCUGGCCCAGCCAGGUCUUACAUCCUCAAUUUGCCUGGCCCGGCCAGGUCUUACAAAC